AUCCCCAUAGCUUUUCAAGCAACCACCACCCAAAGAUGCGCUUUCCUAAGAAUCAUAUAUAAAAGAAACUCACAAGACGGCUACAUAAAACCUCCCGUAGGAGCCUAUCAGAAACAUAUUUUGCUCUACCAACUUCUACAACCCGUACCCAGCACUGGGCCUCGUCAGCACCCUUUUAACUUCUGAAAAUACGAAACACAAGGAAAGGACCAGGGAAAAUGGGAGAGAAGCAACAUUUUGACUACAUUGAUUCACUUCACCACAGGUACAAAGAAAAC
RNAcentral lists this unclassified non-coding RNA (278 nucleotides) under Hevea brasiliensis (rubber tree). The record is from RNAcentral. Lineage: Eukaryota; Viridiplantae; Streptophyta; Magnoliopsida; Malpighiales; Euphorbiaceae.